Molecule: transfer RNA, 85 nt
Filed under: Clostridia bacterium
Lineage: Bacteria; Bacillati; Bacillota; Clostridia
Also listed under: 1 other name
Description: tRNA-Leu
Rfam family: tRNA
About the family: Transfer RNA (tRNA) molecules are approximately 80 nucleotides in length. Their secondary structure includes four short double-helical elements and three loops (D, anti-codon, and T loops). Further hydrogen bonds mediate the characteristic L-shaped molecular structure. tRNAs have two regions of fundamental functional importance: the anti-codon, which is responsible for specific mRNA codon recognition, and the 3' end, to which the tRNAs corresponding amino acid is attached (by aminoacyl-tRNA synthetases). tRNAs cope with the degeneracy of the genetic code in two manners: having more than one tRNA (with a specific anti-codon) for a particular amino acid; and 'wobble' base-pairing, i.e. permitting non-standard base-pairing at the 3rd anti-codon position.
Source: RNAcentral
GCAGGCAUGGCGGAAUUGGCAGACGCGCUAGACUUAGGAUCUAGUGCCGUGAGGCGUGGGAGUUCAAGUCUCUUUGCCUGCACCA